RNAcentral lists this long non-coding RNA (293 nucleotides) under Gossypium barbadense (sea-island cotton). RNAcentral describes it as "long non-coding RNA (GBAR_LNC005976)". Lineage: Eukaryota; Viridiplantae; Streptophyta; Magnoliopsida; Malvales; Malvaceae. The record is from RNAcentral.
UAAAAGUUAAUUUGGUAAUUGCAUAAUUAAAUAUUAAAUCAAAAUAACGAAAAGAUGGUAUCAUCUUCUCAUCUGAGAUACACCACAGAAAAUAAGGAAGAAAAAUACUCCAUUAUUGUGUUUUUGAAAGUUCGGCCAUAGUCUCUUUGCAUGUAAGUGCAUUUUUACUCAAUUUUUACUGAUUUCUAUGUAUUUGGAGUCGUUGUAGCUUAAUCUAGCUAGCACUGGGACUAAUUUGCAAAACUGUUAAAAGACUAGGGUUUUACCAUUAUGAAUGUGUAUGUGUUUUGAUG